This 215-nucleotide non-coding RNA is filed under the name Magnetospirillum molischianum. Lineage: Bacteria; Pseudomonadati; Pseudomonadota; Alphaproteobacteria; Rhodospirillales; Rhodospirillaceae. The record is from RNAcentral.
UACGGUAUUUGGUAUUACGGUUCCCCAGAUCAUCAAAAUCUGGGGCUAAGAGGGAAACCGGUGCGUCGCCCUGGCGACCAGUCCGGUGCUGCCCCCGCAACUGUCAGCGGAGAGCCGCCGUCCACCCGCGUCACUGAUGCCCUUGGGGUAUCGGGAAGACAGGACGGAAGCCUUGACCCGCAAGCCAGGAGACCUGCCGUAACACGAUGAAACGU